RNAcentral lists this ribosomal RNA (494 nucleotides) under uncultured bacterium. RNAcentral's name for it is "bacterial SSU rRNA". It matches the Rfam family "Bacterial small subunit ribosomal RNA", at positions 15 to 507 of the family's 1533-position model. The record is from RNAcentral.
GAUCAUGGCUCAGGAUGAACGCUGGCGGCGUGCUUAAUACAUGCAAGUCGAACGAAGCACCUUGGACAGAAUCCUUCGGGAGGAAGACCAUUGUGACUGAGUGGCGGACGGGUGAGUAACGCGUGGGUAACCUGCCUUGUACAGGGGGAUAACAGUUGGAAACGACUGCUAAUACCGCAUAAGCGCACAGUACCGCAUGGUACGGUGUGAAAAACUCCGGUGGUACAAGAUGGACCCGCGUCUGAUUAGCUUGUUGGUGAGGUAACGGCCCACCAAGGCGACGAUCCAUAGCCGACCUGAGAGGGUGACCGGCCACAUUGGGACUGAGACACGGCCCAAACUCCUACGGGAGGCAGCAGUGGGGAAUAUUGCACAAUAGGGGAAACCCUGAUGCAGCGACGCCGCGUGAGUGAUGAAGUAUUUCGGUAUGUAAAACUCUAUCAGCGGGGAAGAUAAUGACGGUACCUGACUAAGAAGCACCGGCUAAAUACGUG